GGUUCCGAGGGGGAUUGAAAACCCCUUCCGAGGAGUUUAAGGGGCAAAAAGCUUGCCUUAAGUUAUAAUGUAAAUUAAUUAUACCGGAAACCAGGGGCCUAGAGGUUCCUCUAUGAAACUUAAGCAUAGAGGUGACGGAAAAGUUACCCCAGGGAUAACUGGCUUGUGGCGGCCGAGCGUCCAUAGCGACGCCGCUUUUUGAUUUUUCGAUGUCGGCUCUUCCGAGCAUGGUGGAGUAUCAGCCAACCAAGUGUGUGAUUGUUCACCAACUAACAGGGAACGUGAGCUGGGUUUAGACCGUCGCGAGACAGGUUAGUUUUACCCUACUGCAUCGCGUCCGAGAGUAGGUCGGGGCAGUACGAGAGGAAGUGCCGAUCAGAACCGCUGGUGAUACUUUCGUCUGUUAAGGCGCGAAGUGUAGCUACGUUCUUCUUAUAAUAGCUGAAAGCCUCUAAGCUAGAAUGAGUACUUAAGGACGCAAAGAUAUGAAGACUACAUAUGUAAGGAUGAGGGUUGUACGAUAUAAGCUUCUGCGAGUAUUUCAGACCACUUAUUUCCUUUUUUAGAACAUGCUUGCUC
Molecule: non-coding RNA, 579 nt
Filed under: Enterocytozoon bieneusi H348
Lineage: Eukaryota; Fungi; Microsporidia; Enterocytozoonidae
Description: Archaeal large subunit ribosomal RNA
Rfam family: Archaeal large subunit ribosomal RNA
Source: Rfam by way of RNAcentral